GGUUAAGCGACUAAGCGUACACGGUGGAUGCCCUGGCAGUCAGAGGCGAUGAAGGGCGUGCUAAUCUGCGAUAAGCGCCGGUAAGGUGAUAUGAACCGUUAUAACCGGCGAUACCCGAAUGGGGAAACCCAGUGUGACUCGUCACACUAUCAUUAACUGAAUCCAUAGGUUAAUGAGGCGAACCGGGGGAACUGAAACAUCUAAGUACCCCGAGGAAAAGAAAUCAACCGAGAUUCCCCCAGUAGCGGCGAGCGAACGGGGAGGAGCCCAGAGCCUGAAUCAGCAUGUGUGUUAGUGGAAGCGUCUGGAAAGGCGCGCGAUACAGGGUGACAGCCCCGUACACAAAAGCGCAUGUGCUGUGAGCUCGAUGAGUAGGGCGGGACACGUGGUAUCCUGUCUGAAUAUGGGGGGACCAUCCUCCAAGGCUAAAUACUCCUGACUGACCGAUAGUGAACCAGUACCGUGAGGGAAAGGCGAAAAGAACCCCGGCGAGGGGAGUGAAAAAGAACCUGAAACCGUGUACGUACAAGCAGUGGGAGCACCCUUUGGGGUGUGACUGCGUACCUUUUGUAUAAUGGGUCAGCGACUUAUAUUCUGUAGCAAGGUUAACCGUAUAGGGGAGCCGCAGGGAAACCGAGUCUUAACCGGGCGUUAAGUUGCAGGGUAUAGACCCGAAACCCGGUGAUCUAGCCAUGGGCAGGUUGAAGGUUGGGUAACACUAACUGGAGGACCGAACCGACUAAUGUUGAAAAAUUAGCGGAUGACCUGUGGCU
Molecule: ribosomal RNA, 773 nt
Filed under: Salmonella sp. 32010201201800099SM
Lineage: Bacteria; Pseudomonadati; Pseudomonadota; Gammaproteobacteria; Enterobacterales; Enterobacteriaceae
Description: partial 23S ribosomal RNA
Rfam family: Bacterial large subunit ribosomal RNA
Source: RNAcentral